Non-coding RNA from Cinara cedri, 272 nucleotides. The record is from the annotation of a GenBank genome assembly. NCBI's taxonomy places the organism in Eukaryota, Metazoa, Arthropoda, Insecta, Hemiptera, Aphididae.
ACAGUCUCGAUUUCGGGGUUUUUUUUCCCCCGUAAAAUUCAAAGACGGGGACAUUGUCCCUGUUUGGCGCCAUUUCCGGGCGAGGCACGAGCGUCUGUGUUCCGCAGAAAAUCGAAAUAUUCGAAAAAAAAAAAAAAAAAAUUGUGGCGCACUGUUAUACUCGUCUUCAAGUCCGACAAUAACCGAUGGAUUCGCUCCGACGUAAUAUACUUAAAUCGAAAAUUUGCCGAUAAAAAAAAACGUCAAUUUGCGCGAUACGCGUCGUACGUUCG